RNAcentral lists this long non-coding RNA (254 nucleotides) under Gallus gallus (chicken). Its description in RNAcentral is "lncRNA (ENSGALG00010020780.1)". The record is from RNAcentral. Lineage: Eukaryota; Metazoa; Chordata; Aves; Galliformes; Phasianidae.
CCAGCUGAGCAAACCGUCGAGUUCCAUGCUGUCAUCUGGAAUGCCUGCGCUGGGUGUCCCAUCUGGGAAAAGGAUGGAAAUCCCCAAGGGGGCAAUGCCAGCUUUCCCACAGCCACUCGGAGCAGACAUCCCCGCCUGCUCUGCAGCCCCUGAACUCACCGUUGCUGAUCCACGUCAGGAUAUCAUCGAUCUCCGCGCUGUCGACCGGGAUGUCUGCGCUGGAUGUCAUGUCUGGAAAAGGCAAGAAAAUCCCC